AGUAUAUAGGUCUCUGGACUAAUGUGACUACAAGUUUCAAGGUCACAGGGUCAAAAGUCAAAGGUCACCUGGAAUGACUGAAAUGGCCAGUUGUUUGCACAAAAAUGUUCUCAUCAGCAUUUUGUAUAGGCAUAUGCAUUUGAAAAUGGUAGGAACUAAUGCCAUGGUUAUUUUCAUGAAGUUUCAAGGUUACGAGGUCAAUAGUCAAAGGGUCAUAGGCACUUGGAAGUAUGAAACAGCCAGCCAAUUUCCUCCAAAACUAUCAACAUUUUGUGUAGGUGUAUGCAUUUGAAAGUGAAGGGACAAAUGUGCAAAUUAUUUUGGCAAAGUUCAAGGUCCAUGGGUCAAAGGUUAAUUGAAACUACGUGAGGUUAAGGCCCAAUGAGCCUCUUGUUAUGAAAGUUAUAAGUGACUUAUUUGAGGAUCAUCCCUUACAGAGUGAUCCUCAAAUAAGUGUACCUAGCUUUGAAUUAAUGUACCCCUCUUCAGAUACGUCAAAUUCUUUUUUUAAUGACCAUGUUUGUUUCCUUACAUUUUGCUGUCAUGUACAAUGUAGUUAAAAUGUGAAGGAAUAUGAACUUUUUUUCAGAGGUGAUACUGUUAUAAUAUUCUGUUGUGUGGCCAGGUAAAAUUAUUUUUUUGUUUCUCAGGCCAUUUAUUUUUUGUUAUUUGUUAUUUCUGCCAAAACCAAUGAGGCAGGUGCUAUAUUAUUCUUUUAAAAACAGGAUAAUCUUUAAUGCUCUUUUAUUCCCCUUGAUAUUCCCAUUGAAUGUUAAGGUUGUUUUAAGGUCACUCAGUAUACUCAGAUAUGAUAAAUGAUUCAUUUUAUUUACUCAAAAACAAUGUUCAAUAAAACUAACUUCGGCCCUUGUGAUGAUUUGGACCAAAAUCAAGACCAUUUUGGACGACACAAAUCUUUUUUUAUUAAAAUAAAGUUUGAGUCUGAUUUGGAAUAAAGCAGGUUAAAAUUUUAUUUUAUUAUUUUUUGUUUAUGAGGUGUAUGCAGGCCUUCAAAUCAGAUGAGGCAUAUUAAAAAAAGUGUACUUAAGCGCAAAUUUAAAAAAUUGUAAAAUACAAUAUUUUAGCAUGGACUUCAAUUUAAGCUAUCCAGGCUCUUAUCCAGAAUCCAGAAAUUGUCUCUUCUAGACUUAAGGGCAACUGAUAUUCUUAUACAUGGACAUUGCGUAUUUAGUACAACAUAUAACUCGCAUGCCUUUUCUACACCUGUUGUUUCAUGGCUCUAUCUAUGAUUGCUCAUGUGAGCUAUUCUGAUCGCUUUUUGUCUGUCAUCGUUUUUAUUUUUAGAAAAAUUUCCAAGUAUCCAAAAGGGAAAAGUUUUUGUAAAUACAUGUCAGGAAAAAUGUUGUAGGUAAUUGAAUAAGAAUUAUUUUGAUGCAUGGUUCAAGGUCAUAAAGUCAAAGGUUGUCAUCACAUGACAUGUUAGUAAUGAAACUGCCCGUUUGCUCCAAAAUGUCAACUUUUUGUAUAGGUGUAUGUAUUUGAAAGUUUAGUGACUAGUGUUAGGGUUAUUUUAGGGAAGUCUUUUUUGCAUGAAAUUUCACAGCCCCUUCUCAUUGGUGUUGCAUGGACAUAAAUGUGCCCUAAGUCAUCUCACCUCAUUUACUUCAACUUUUUAAGAAUGGCUAGUGUAGUUGAUACCUAUCUUGGUGCAAAUGAUCACGAUGGGGUUUUAGCUUUGCAGCUGUGACCUCUAUUUGGCUGAAUAUCAUGUGAGCAUUAAAGUCCAUGUGCUAAGGCUUUUGACUAGGUCUCCUGUAGUGACAUAUUGAACAACCAUUGUCAGAAGUAGUCCUUAGACGAAACUCUAGUUUCUGCAUAGCUGUCUUCUUUAGAUGAACAAAAUUUGGUAAUAUUUAGAAAGAUAUAUAAAUAUUUGUAAUCAGAUUUCAAUUUUUUGUCAUAUGUAUGCCAAAAUAGCGCUAAUGGGAAUUUAUAAGCUAUUGAUUGCAUUUAAUUUCUAGUCUGAUGUGUAAAUAUAUUUUCUGCUCAUGUAUUUAAAAUCAUUUUUGUUAGAUGUGGUAAAUAUAUUUCCUAGUCAAAUAUGUAAAUAUAAUUCUCUACCAUUCAGAUUGAGUAUUAAUGAACUUCUCUGUAGUCAAAUGCAUCAAUAUAGGUGUGGAGAACCCUAUUUUCUAACCAGAUUUACCAUCAAUAUAGGUGUGGAGAACCCUAUUUUCUAACCAGAUUAACCAUCAAUAUAGGUGUGGACAACCCUAUUUUCUAACCAGAUUAACCAUCAAUAUAGGUGUGGAGAACCCUAUUAUCUAACCAGAUUUACCAUCAAUAUAGGUGUGGAGAACCCUAUUUUCUAACCAGAUUUACCAUCAAUAUAGGUGUGGAGAACCCUAUUUUCUAACCAGAUUAACCAUCAAUAUAGGUGUGGAGAACCCUAUUUUCUAACCAGAUUAACCAUCAAUAUAGGUGUGGACAACCCUAUUUUCUAACCAGAUUAACCAUCAAUAUAGGUGUGGACAACCCUAUUAUCUAACCAGAUUUACCAUCAAUAUAGGUGUGGACAACCCUAUUUUCUAACCAGAUUAACCAUCAAUAUAGGUGUGGAGAACCCUAUUUUCUAACCAGAUUAACCAUCAAUAUAGGUGUGGAGAACCCUAUUUUCUAACCAGAUUUACCAUCAAUAUAGGUGUGGACAACCCUAUUUUCUAACCAGAUUUACCAUCAAUAUAGGUGUGGAGAACCCUAUUUUCUAACCAGAUUUACCAUCAAUAUAGGUGUGGACAACCCUAUUUUCUAACCAGAUUUACACUCUAGAAAUAAUGAAAUUUACCUAUACAAAUAUUUCCUUGCCAAAUUACUGAUAUGAAGAACUUGAAGAGGUGUUUCCAUUCGGCUAUGGUAAAAACGUAAGGCACCGAUCAAAUUUGUGUAUUAUGUGUCAGCUGAACUUUAAAAUGUAUUUGCUCCUUUCUGUUAUCAGUUCUUUCCAAGUGAGAUGAAAAUUCUGCUGUUAAAUGUUCACAUUCGAAAUAAAGAUAUAGCUUUUCCAAAAA
Long non-coding RNA from Pecten maximus, 3029 nucleotides. RefSeq lists it as uncharacterized. The record is from RefSeq and is a predicted model, not a curated record. The transcript has 2 exons. Lineage: Eukaryota; Metazoa; Mollusca; Bivalvia; Pectinida; Pectinidae.